Molecule: ribosomal RNA, 407 nt
Filed under: Verrucomicrobiota bacterium
Lineage: Bacteria; Pseudomonadati; Verrucomicrobiota
Description: Verrucomicrobia bacterium partial 16S ribosomal RNA
Rfam family: Bacterial small subunit ribosomal RNA
Source: RNAcentral
UGGGGAAUAUUGGACAAUGGAGGCAACUCUGAUCCAGCAAUUCUGUGUGUGUGAAGAAGGUUUUAGGACUGUAAAACACUUUUAGUAGGGAAGAAAGAAAUGACGGUACCUACAGAAGAAGCGACGGCUAAAUACGUGCCAGCAGCAGCGGUAAUACGUAUGUCGCGAGCGUUAUCCGGAAUUAUUGGGCUUAAAGGGCAUCUAGGCGGUUAAACAAGUUGAAGGUGAAAACCUGUGGCUCAACCAUAGGCUUGCCUACAAAACUGUAUAACUAGAGUACUGGAAAGGUGGGUGGAACUACACGAGUAGAGGUGAAAUUCGUAGAUAUGUGUAGGAAUGCCGAUGAUGAAGAUAACUCACUGGACAGCAACUGACGCUGAAGUGCGAAAGCUAGGGGAGCAAACAGG